This 274-nucleotide ribosomal RNA is filed under the name uncultured bacterium. RNAcentral's name for it is "partial 16S ribosomal RNA". It matches the Rfam family "Bacterial small subunit ribosomal RNA", at positions 775 to 1051 of the family's 1533-position model. The record is from RNAcentral.
GGAUUAGAAACCCGGGUAGUCCACGCCGUAAACGAUGAUUACUCGAUGUUGGCGAUACACAGUCAGCGUCCAAGCGAAAGCGUUAAGUAAUCCACCUGGGGAGUACGAGUCGCAAGAUUGAAACUCAAAGGAAUUGACGGGGGCCCGCACAAGCAGCGGAGCAUGUGGUUUAAUUCGACGCAACGCGAAGAACCUUACCUGGGCUUGACAUGUCCGUGACCGGCGUGGAAACACGUCUUCCCUUCGGGGCACGGUCACAGGUGGUGCAUGGCUG